AAAUUGUGUUAUUUUAAGAAAUAAUAUUUUAUUUGAAUCUCUAAUUGACUUUUCUUGACCGCAUGUAUACAAUGUCGUUUCCUAGACGAUGCGGUUUGCAUUGUUGAUGAUUAUUUUGACUGACGUCGCCAUUUAUCAAAAAAUAUUAAAUUCAGAUUAUAAUUGUGUGGAAAAUAUUUCUGGGACUGAAUAGAAGGAAUGAAGUAUUAUACAGAUUGCAAAUUGCGUGAUCAUAGAGUGAGAGCAUUACACAAGUGUCCCGGCAUCUAAGGUGAGUUUAGCUUCUUUUGUUUAUGUUGUUUGAAUAUUAAAUUGAUAUUAACACCAUUCAUAUAUUAUGCUAU
This is a long non-coding RNA of Sitophilus oryzae (rice weevil), 344 nucleotides long. RefSeq lists it as uncharacterized. The record is from RefSeq and is a predicted model, not a curated record. The transcript has 2 exons. Lineage: Eukaryota; Metazoa; Arthropoda; Insecta; Coleoptera; Curculionidae.